UACAGAGGGUGCAAGCGUUAAUCGGAAUUACUGGGCGUAAAGCGUGCGUAGACGGUUAUGUAAGUUAGGUGUGAAAGCCCCGGGCUCAACCUGGGAAUUGCAUUUAAGACUGCAUAGCUAGGGUGCGGAAGAGGGAAGCGGAAGUUUCCGGUGUGAGCGGUGAAAUGCGUAGAUAUACGGAAGGAACAUCAGUGGCGAAA
This 200-nucleotide ribosomal RNA is filed under the name uncultured bacterium. RNAcentral describes it as "partial 16S ribosomal RNA". It matches the Rfam family "Bacterial small subunit ribosomal RNA", at positions 524 to 720 of the family's 1533-position model. The record is from RNAcentral.